CAGAGUAUAGUUUAAUUGGUAAAAUAUCUGCUUUGGGUGUAGUUGAUGUUAGUUCAAAUCUGGCUACUCUGA
This 72-nucleotide transfer RNA is filed under the name Ministeria vibrans. Its description in RNAcentral is "tRNA-Pro". It matches the Rfam family "tRNA". Rfam says of the family: Transfer RNA (tRNA) molecules are approximately 80 nucleotides in length. Their secondary structure includes four short double-helical elements and three loops (D, anti-codon, and T loops). The record is from RNAcentral. Lineage: Eukaryota; Filasterea; Ministeriida; Ministeriidae.